RNAcentral lists this ribosomal RNA (460 nucleotides) under uncultured bacterium. RNAcentral's name for it is "partial 16S ribosomal RNA". It matches the Rfam family "Bacterial small subunit ribosomal RNA", at positions 338 to 795 of the family's 1533-position model. The record is from RNAcentral.
CCUACGGGAGGCAGCAGUGAGGAAUAUUGGUCAAUGGGAGAGAUCCUGAACCAGCCAAGCCGCGUGAGGGAAGACGGCCCUAUGGGUUGUAAACCUCUUUUGUCGGAGAACAAAACCCGGUACGUGUCUCGGACUGCGUGUAUCCGUACGAAAAGCAUCGGCUAACUCCGUGCCAGCAGCCGCGGUAAUCCGGAGGAUGUGAGCGUUAUCCGGAUUUAUUGGGUGUAACGGGAGCGUAGGUGGAUUGUUAAGUCAGUGGUGAAAGUUUGCGGCUCAACCGUAAAAUUGCAGUUGAAACUGGCAGUCUUGAGUACAGUAGAGGUGGGCGGAAUUCGUGGUGUAGCGGUGAAAUGCGUAGAUAUCACGAAGAACUCCGGUUGCGAAGGCAGUUCACUGGACUGCAACUGACGCUGAGGCUCGAAAGUGUGGGUAGCAAACAGGAUUAGAUACCCCAGUAGUC